CAAUAGCUAGGCAGAAAAGGUACAGCAAAUAAACGAAAAGCAGAACCAUGAGUCUGAUGGCGAAAGAGGGGAAGCAGUUUGCUUUUCUGAUAGCAAUUUCAUGAGUCAGCUGACCUAAGAUACAUACUUCAAUUCUCAUGGGAUUUCUUGAGCUAGGAAAGGUGGUUGGCUUACGGCACAGUAGAGAGCUUCCAGGGCUGGCUGGCGUGGGAUACCCGUACCACAGAAAUGCAGGGACCAUUGCUUCUUCCAGGCCUCUGCUUUCUGCUGAGCCUCUUUGGAGCUGUGACUCAGAAAACCAAAACUUCCUGUGCUAAGUGCCCCCCAAAUGCUUCCUGUGUCAAUAACACUCACUGCACCUGCAACCAUGGAUAUACUUCUGGAUCUGGGCAGAAACUAUUCACAUUCCCCUUGGAGACAUGUAACGCCAGGCAUGGUGGCUCGCGCCUGUAAUCCCAGUUCUUUGGGAAGCCAAGGCAGGUGGAUCACCUGAGGUCAGGAGUUUGAGACCAGCCUGGCCAACAUAGUGAAACCCCG
This 537-nucleotide long non-coding RNA is filed under the name Homo sapiens (human). RNAcentral's name for it is "HSALNT0256255". The record is from RNAcentral. Lineage: Eukaryota; Metazoa; Chordata; Mammalia; Primates; Hominidae.